Dicentrarchus labrax (European seabass) is the source of this 367-nucleotide long non-coding RNA. RefSeq lists it as uncharacterized. NCBI's taxonomy places the organism in Eukaryota, Metazoa, Chordata, Actinopteri, Moronidae. The record is from RefSeq and is a predicted model, not a curated record. The transcript has 3 exons.
AAGGUGAGUUGCUUUAACUUAAGCAUUUACUGAGUGUUGGGGUGCUACAAACACAUUACAUAAUAAACAUGUUCAAGGAAAGAGACUCAAACUAAAUAAACAAAACAAUGUUAGGAAGAUUACAAUUGUAUCCAUCAACAUAAUUCAGGUUUAAAGUGGUUAUCAGUUGAACAGGUUGACGAAUCCUGACCUGAGAGUUUCCAGUUUACAGUGUGGACUCUUCAGUCCAACAGAAAGCAGCUUCAGUCCUGAAUCCUGCAGGUUGUUGUUACUCAGGUCCAGCUCUCUCAGAUGGGAGGGGUUGGAGCUCAGAGCUGAGACCAGAGAAGCACAACCUUCCUCUGUGAUCAGACAGCCUGAUAGCCUG